UUCUUUGAGCAAUGCCGAUAUCGUAGCCAAUGAGGUUCUACCGAGGUGCGAUUUUUGCUAGUUGGGAAAAACUGUCCUAUUUAUUAGUGUAUCAUGUAUUCUACAAGGAAUUCGGAACAGUUUUUUUUCUGAUAAUGAUUUGUAUUA
Small nuclear RNA from Toxorhynchites rutilus septentrionalis, 147 nucleotides. RefSeq annotates it as U4 spliceosomal RNA. The record is from RefSeq and is a predicted model, not a curated record. The transcript has a single exon. NCBI's taxonomy places the organism in Eukaryota, Metazoa, Arthropoda, Insecta, Diptera, Culicidae.